RNAcentral lists this ribosomal RNA (1638 nucleotides) under Triticum aestivum (bread wheat). Its description in RNAcentral is "partial small subunit ribosomal RNA". The record is from RNAcentral. Lineage: Eukaryota; Viridiplantae; Streptophyta; Magnoliopsida; Poales; Poaceae.
AUGGACAAGCUUCCGAAGCGCCCGGCUAACUACGUUCCACUUAGCCCGGUCGGGUUCCUUCCGCGCGCCAGUGCAGUAUACGGCGACCGCACGUCGGUCGUCUACGGGCGUCUCAAGUUCACAUGGAGCCAGACGCACGAGCGCUGCCGCCGCCUCGCCGCCGCCCUCGUCUCCCUCGGCGUCCGCAAGAACAACGUGGUCUCCGUCCUCGCGCCCAACGUGCCGGCAACGUACGAGAUGCACUUCGCCGUGCCCAUGGCUGCGGCCGUGCUCAACGCCAUCAACACGCGCCUGGACGCCAAGGCGGUGGCUGUCAUCCUCAGGCACGCCCAGGCUAAGGUCUUGUUGGUCGACUACGAGUACGUGCGCCUCGCUCAUGACGCGCUCCAGAUCGUUGCCGAUGCCGGCGCCCCCGUCCCUCUGGUCGCCGUCAUCGACGAUAUCGAAAGGCCCACUGGCGUCCGGCUUGGCCUCUUCAAGCUCGAGUAUGAGGCGCUGGUCAGCAACGGCGACCCGGCGGCGGAGCUGCCCUUGCUCGCAGACGAGUGGGAUGCGGUCGCGCUCAACUACACCUCGGGCACCACGUCGGCACCGAAGGGCGUGGUGUACAGCCACCGUGGCGCGUACCUGAACACCAUGGGCCAGCUGCUGUCGUGGGGGGUGGGCAACGAGCCCGUGUACCUCUGGACGCUCCCCAUGUUCCACUGCAACGGGUGGGCACUCACGUGGGGAAUGGCGGCGCGCGGCGGCGUCAACGUCUGCAUUCGCCAGAACCGCGCCGCCGACGUCUACCGUGCCAUCUCCGACUACGGCGUCACCCACAUGUGCUGCGCGCCCGUGGUAUUCAAUAUCCUCCUGGAAGGCGAGGCCCGGCGGCUCGCCGCUCCGGUCCACGUCCUCACGGGCGGCGCCCCGCCGACGGCCGCCCUGCUGGACCGCGUCGAGCGGAUCGGUUUCAAGGUGACGCACUCCUAUGGACUCACGGAGGCCACAGGCCCCGCUAUGGCCUGCGAGUGGCGCCACCAGUGGGACCUCCUGCCGCUCCCGGAGCGCUCACGCCUCAAGGCCAGGCAGGGGGUGAGCGUCCUGUCUCUCGCCGAUGCCAGCGUCGUCGACAGCAACACCAUGGGUAGCGUGCCGCGGGAUGGCAAUUCAUUGGGUGAGAUCGUGCUCCGCGGCAGCAGCCUCAUGAAGGGGUACCUUGACAACCCGGAGGCUAAUGAGAAGGCCUUCAAGGGCGGGUGGUUCAUGACAGGCGACGUCGGCGUCGUGCACCCCGACGGGUACAUCGAGAUAAAGGACAGGUCAAAGGACGUGAUCAUCAGCGGCGGCGAGAACAUCUGCAGCAAGGAGCUGGAGGAGGUGCUGCUCCAGCACCCGGCUGUGGCCGACGCGGCGGUGGUUGCCAUGCCUCACCCGCACUGGGGCGAGACACCAUGCGCGUUCCUCGUGGCAAAAGACAAGGCUGCUGAGGUAUGCAAGGAUGAAGUGAUCGCCUUCUGCCGCGAGCGCAUGUCACGCUUCAUGGUUCCCAGGAAGGUGGUCGUCACUGACGCCCUUCCGAGGAACGCGCUGGGAAAGAUUGAGAAGGUGAAGCUACGGGAUGCGGCCCGGAAAUCGGCCGUGUCAAGGCUGUAG